AUGCUAAAUACAACAGGUGUAGUAGACCUUACAGUGACAUGCUAAAUACAACAGGUGUAGUAGACAUUACAGUGAAAUGCUGAAUACAACAGGUGUAGUAGACCUUACAGUGAAAUGCUGAAUACAACAGGUGUAGUAGACCUUACAGUGAAAUGCUGAAUACAACAGGUGUAGUAGACCUUACAGUGAAAUGCUGAAUACAACAGGUGUAGUAGACCUCACAGUGAAAUGCUGAAUACAACAGGUGUAGUAGACCUUACAGUGAAAUGCUAAAUACAACAGGUGUAGUAGACCUUACAGUGAAAUGCUGAAUACAACAGGUGUAGUAGACCUCCCAGUGAAAUGCUGAAUACAACAGGUGUAGUAGACCUCCCAGUGAAAUGCUGAAUACAACAGGUGUAGUAGACCUUACAGUGAAAUGCUGAAUACAACAGGUGUAGUAGACCUUACAGUGAAAUGCUGAAUACAACAGGUGUAGUAGACCUUACAGUGAAAUGCUGAAUACAACAGGUGUAGUAGACCUUACAGUGAAAUGCUGAAUACAACAGGUGUAGUAGACCUUACAGUGAAAUGCUGAAUACAACAGGUGUAGUAGACCUCACAGUGAAAUGCUGAAUACAACAGGUGUAGUAGACCUUACAGUGAAAUGCUAAAUACAACAGGUGUAGUAGACCUUACAGUGAAAUGCUGAAUACAACAGGUGUAGUAGACCUCCCAGUGAAAUGCUGAAUACAACAGGUGUAGUAGACCUCACAGUGAAAUACUGAAUACAACAGGUGUAGUAGACCUCACAGUGAAAUGCUGAAUACAACAGGUGUAGUAGACCUCACAGUGAAAUACUGAAUACAACAGGUGUAGUAGACCUCACAGUGAAAUACUGAAUACAACAGGUGUAGUAGACCUCACAGUGAAAUGCUGAAUACAACAGGUGUAGUAGACCUCACAGUGAAAUACUGAAUACAACAGGUGUAGUAGACCUCACAGUGAAAUACUGAAUACAACAGGUGUAGUAGACCUUACAGUGAAAUGCUGAAUACAACAGGUGUAGUAGACCUCCCAGUGAAAUGCUGAAUACAACAGGUGUAGUAGACCUCACAGUGAAAUGCUGAAUACAACAGGUGUAGUAGACCUCACAGUGAAAUACUGAAUACAACAGGUGUAGUAGACCUCACAGUGAAAUACUGAAUACAACAGGUGUAGUAGACCUCACAGUGAAAUGCUGAAUACAACAGGUGUAGUAGACCUCACAGUGAAAUACUGAAUACAACAGGUGUAGUAGACCUCACAGUGAAAUACUGAAUACAACAGGUGUAGUAGACCUCACAGUGAAAUGCUGAAUACAACAGGUGUAGUAGACCUCACAGUGAAAUGCUGAAUACAACAGGUGUAGUAGACCUCACAGUGAAAUGCUGAAUACAACAGGUGUAGUAGACCUCACAGUGAAAUACUGAAUACAACAGGUGUAGUAGACCUCACAGUGAAAUACUGAAUACAACAGGUGUAGUAGACCUUACAGUGAAAUGCUGAAUAAAACAGGUGUAGUAGACCUCACAGUGAAAUGCUGAAUACAACAGGUGUAGUAGACCUCACAGUGAAAUACUGAAUACAACAGGUGUAGUAGACCUCACAGUGAAAUGCUUACUGACGAGCCAUUUCCUAACAAUGCAGAGGUUAACGGCAAGACAUAUUUGCUAAUAAAAAAGGGAAACAGUAACACAAUAAAAUAACAAUAAUCAGGCUAUAGUACCAGGUAGUAAUGAGGCUAUAUACAGGAAGUACCAGGUAGUAAUGAGACUAUAUACAGGAAGUACCAGGUAGUAAUGAGACUAUAUACAGGAAGUACCAGGUAGUAAUGAGGCUAUAUACAGGAAGUACCAGGUAGUAAUGAGGCUAUAUACAGGAAGUACCAGGUAGUAAUGAGGCUAUAUACAGGAAGUACCAGGUAGUAAUGAGGCUAUAUACAGGAAGUACCAGUUAGUAAUGAGACUAUAUACAGGAAGUACCAGUUAGUAAUGAGACUAUAUACAGGAAGUACCAGGUAGUAAUGAGACUAUAUACAGGAAGUACCAGGUAGUAAUGAGGCUAUAUACAGGAAGUACCAGGUAGUAAUGAGGCUAUAUACAGGAAGUACCAGGUAGUAAUGAGGCUAUAUACAGGAAGUACCAGUUAGUAAUGAGACUAUAUACAGGAAGUACCAGUUAGUAAUGAGACUAUAUACAGGAAGUACCAGGUAGUAAUGAGACUAUAUACAGGAAGUACCAGGUAGUAAUGAGGCUAUAUACAGGAAGUACCAGGUAGUAAUGAGACUAUAAACAGGAAGUACCAGGUAGUAAUGAGACUAUAUACAGGAAGUACCAGGUAGUAAUGACACUAUAUACAGGAAGUACCAGGUAGUAAUGAGACUAUAAACAGGAGGUACCAGGUAGUAAUGAGACUAUAAACAGGAAGUACAAGGUAGUAAUGAGACUAUAAACAGGAAGUACCAGGUAGUAAUGAGGCUAUAUACAGGAAGUACCAGGUAGUAAUGAGGCUAUAUACAGGAAGUACCAGGUAGUAAUGAGACUAUAAACAGGAAGUACCAGGUAGUAAUGAGGCUAUAUACAAGGAGGACCAGUACUGAGUCAAUGUGCAGCGAUACCAGGUAGAGAAUUGAGGUAAUAUGUACAUGUAGGUAGAUAGGGGUAAAAGUAACCAAUCAGGAUAGACAAUAAACAGAGUAGCAGCAGCCUAUGUGUGAGUGUGUGAAUGAGUGUUAGUGUGUCUAUGUCUAUGUGUGUGUGUGUGUCUGUGUGUCUGUGUGUGUGUGUGUGUGUGUG
This is a long non-coding RNA of Oncorhynchus keta (chum salmon), 2816 nucleotides long. RefSeq lists it as uncharacterized. NCBI's taxonomy places the organism in Eukaryota, Metazoa, Chordata, Actinopteri, Salmoniformes, Salmonidae. The record is from RefSeq and is a predicted model, not a curated record. The transcript has 3 exons.